GGUCCUCCAGCAUUAGGCAGGGUAAAGGAAACCUCAUUUGGAGGUUAAUAAAGAGAGAGUUUCAUGAUGAUGAAGGACAGAGGGCACAAAGAUACAUAGACAUAAUCUAAAAGUAGCACUAGCAUAACAGCUGUUGAUUUAGUAAGGUAACAGACAUGUCAAACCAGCAGGAGCAGAAAAAAAUAAAUUCCUGUGUAAACACGAACAUACAGUAUAUGGGUAACCCAAGCCAUUCACUGUUCCUGGGAGUAGUUGGAAGAAAGAAAGAAAGAAAGAAAGAAAGAAAGAAAGAAAGAAAGAAAGAAAGAAAGAAAGAAAGAAAGAAAGAAAGUGUCACCAUGGCUCACUUCUGUCUGCACCAAAACCAACUGUUCCUGAUGGCAAAAGAGAUCCCCAACAGAAGUUAGUCAAACCAGGGAAUGAUGUGAUGCUGGUCCACCAGCUUCGCUUUAACUGCUGCUUGAGACCAUCCAUGGGAGAUUCCACCUGGCCCUGCUGACAUUACUUCCGGGUCCAAGCCUAUGGAGGAAGACCUUGUCGGCUCAGGCCCCUUUGAUGUAACAUCUGAGACCGAGCCAAUCACUGAAGAAACCUAUGAGCCUGACCCCGCUGACUUCACUUCCUGUCUUCCCCUUUAAAAGCCACCUUUUUCCUUAUUCCCUCAGUUCUGUUUUGGACUCGUUUUUAUGCACAUCAGUGCUGUAUAACAUUUUGCGAGUUUGCAUCCUGGAUACAAAUAUACGGGUGGCUGCUCCAAACCCUGCUAUGACUCUGUAUGGAGUUUCUGACAAUGCACAUUCAUCGUCAACAUGGUCUUACUGCUUGGGACGCAUUUUCCAUACCAACCCCAAUGUAAACAAAAAUCAAACUUGGCAUCUGACACCAAAUGAGCACUUUAACUGAACAGAGAGGUGUGUUCAUGUCAAAAGUGCGUGCCUACGUUAAAAUUCUGCUAGCAGAUUGUAAACUAAGGUGCAGUAGAUGCGACCAAUCAGAAUAUCUGGGAAGCGGGAUUAAAAAUCAGACCAAAGGCAGCUCUAAUGUGCUUGCUGUAUAGCUUAUAAAUAGAAGAGACUGCCGGUGUGUCUGCAGCACUGCUAACUCAGAAACUAGUGAAGAAAUUGAUUUCAAAUGUGGUGAUUGUAUUCCAAAAGACUAUAAGCAGAGCAGUGUGAUGUUUGAAAAAAUAGCCAUAUCCAAAAAAGAACAAGUCAUCGAAAUGUUGCCAAAGAUAAGACUUUCAGAGUGUUUGAUAAGUUCAGAUGGGUAUAUCCAAAGAAACACAACCUUAUAUCCAUCCAUCCAUUAUCCA
Long non-coding RNA from Polypterus senegalus (gray bichir), 1312 nucleotides. RefSeq lists it as uncharacterized. The transcript is spliced from 4 exons. NCBI's taxonomy places the organism in Eukaryota, Metazoa, Chordata, Cladistia, Polypteriformes, Polypteridae. The record is from RefSeq and is a predicted model, not a curated record.